Molecule: ribosomal RNA, 208 nt
Filed under: uncultured bacterium
Lineage: Bacteria
Description: partial 16S ribosomal RNA
Rfam family: Bacterial small subunit ribosomal RNA
Source: RNAcentral
CAUGCAGGCGGCUCAUUACGCAUGGCGUGAAAGCCCCCGGCUCAACCGGGGAGGGUCGUCGUGAACGGGUGAGCUUGAGGGUAUCAGGGGCUGGUGGAAUUCCCGGUGUAGUGGUGAAAUGCGUAGAUAUCGGGAGGAACACCUGUGGCGAAGGCGGCCAGCUGGGAUACACCUGACGCUGAGAUGCGAAGGCGUGGGGAGCGAACGG